This 253-nucleotide ribosomal RNA is filed under the name uncultured bacterium. RNAcentral's name for it is "partial 16S ribosomal RNA". It matches the Rfam family "Bacterial small subunit ribosomal RNA", at positions 524 to 776 of the family's 1533-position model. The record is from RNAcentral.
UACGAAGGGGGCUAGCGUUGUUCGGAAUUACUGGGCGUAAAGCGCGCGCAGGCGGUUUUUCAAGUCAGUGGUGAAAGCCCGGAGCUCAACUCCAGAACUGCCUUCGAUACUGGAAAGCUCGAGUCCGGGAGAGGUGAGUGGAACUGCGAGUGUAGAGGUGAAAUUCGUAGAUAUUCGCAAGAACACCAGUGGCGAAGGCGGCUCACUGGCCCGGUACUGACGCUGAGGUGCGAAAGCGUGGGGAGCAAACAGG